CAGAGGUCUUGAAAUGAAAAGGGUCUCAGAAUCUUACACAGAGGCUUAUACCCGCCUCUAAAGCAAAUCUAUCGCGUCAGGACUGAAAGAAGUCUCAGAAUGUCCCUUUCGGCUGCUUCCUAUGUAUUAGAAAAAUUUGCCUCUCAUCAGAUUUAGUGGUGACCAUUAAAGGAGAACCCAGUUAGCAUCCUCCUGGCUGCUCUGCAACUCCACCUCCCCUAUUUGCUGAGCAACUGCC
Molecule: long non-coding RNA, 238 nt
Filed under: Gallus gallus (chicken)
Lineage: Eukaryota; Metazoa; Chordata; Aves; Galliformes; Phasianidae
Source: RNAcentral